Long non-coding RNA from Drosophila ficusphila, 498 nucleotides. RefSeq lists it as uncharacterized. NCBI's taxonomy places the organism in Eukaryota, Metazoa, Arthropoda, Insecta, Diptera, Drosophilidae. The record is from RefSeq and is a predicted model, not a curated record. The transcript is spliced from 2 exons.
GAGAUUCCGGUUCGGUUUCAGCAGAAAAUUGUGUUUAUUUUGCUUAUUUACAACUACGACGGCGUCUUUUGCACUUCGCUCGCCGCUCACAACUGCCAGCAGAUUUGGAUCCAGAUCAGAGCGAGCUUGAAAAAGCUCCCAGCCGGUUGAGUAAUAUUUUUGGGCCGUUGCAAAACCGAAAGUGUCUCUCGAAUUGUGUUUACCGAGCUUUAUCUAAUGCACACAAUGAACAUCACUGUUUAUCUUAGCAAUCUCGCGUCGGAGAAUAGGAUGUCCGAUAAAGAUACAACGAUUGUACACAUAGAAAAAUGUCGGUAAUUAAGUAAGCUUGGGGUAAACAAAGAAAAAAAUAAUCAAGGCCACCUUGUACGAAAAAUUUAAAAACAAGUACUAAAAAAUGAUAAUGAACCCAAAAAGCUGAGUGCGUUAAAACAGUAAACAAAACUAAAUUAAAAGUUUGCAUAGCCGAAUCAAAUGAAUUUAGAAAGCCAAUUUAAA